RNAcentral lists this transfer RNA (79 nucleotides) under Salmonella enterica subsp. enterica. RNAcentral's name for it is "tRNA-Asp". It matches the Rfam family "tRNA". From Rfam's summary of the family: Transfer RNA (tRNA) molecules are approximately 80 nucleotides in length. Lineage: Bacteria; Pseudomonadati; Pseudomonadota; Gammaproteobacteria; Enterobacterales; Enterobacteriaceae. The record is from RNAcentral.
GGAGCGGUGAAGUUCAGUUGGUUAAAUACCUGCCUGUCACGCAGGGGGUCGUGGGUUCGGAGUCCCGUCCGUUCCGCCA